AGGACGAACGCUGGCGGCGUGCUUAACACAUGCAAGUCGAGGGCACUUUGGGGGCAACUCUGGAGUGACCGGCGAACGGGUGCGUAACACGUGAGCGACCUUGCCUCGUGGUGGGGGAUAGCCGGCCCAACGGCCGGGUAAUACCGCAUAUGGUAGUUUCUUCGCAUGGGGAGACUAGCAAAGCCUUGGAGCAAUCCAAUGGCGCCACAGGGGGGGCUCGCGGCCUAUCAGCUAGUUGGGGGGUAAUGGCCUACCAAGGCGACGACGGGUA
Molecule: ribosomal RNA, 271 nt
Filed under: uncultured bacterium
Lineage: Bacteria
Description: partial small subunit ribosomal RNA
Rfam family: Bacterial small subunit ribosomal RNA
Source: RNAcentral